GAUGAACGCUGGCGGCGUGCCUAAUACAUGCAAGUCGAGCGAACGGACGAGAAGCUUGCUUCUCUGAUGUUAGCGGCGGACGGGUGAGUAACACGUGGAUAACCUACCUAUAAGACUGGGAUAACUUCGGGAAACCGGAGCUAAUACCGGAUGAUAUUUUGAACCGCAUGGUUCAAAAGUGAAAGACGGUCUUGCUGUCACUUAUAGAUGGAUCCGCGCUGCAUUAGCUAGUUGGUAAGGUAACGGCUUACCAAGGCAACGAUGCAUAGCCGACCUGAGAGGGUGAUCGGCCACACUGGAACUGAGACACGGUCCAGACUCCUACGGGAGGCAGCAGUAGGGAAUCUUCCGCAAUGGGCGAAAGCCUGACGGAGCAACGCCGCGUGAGUGAUGAAGGUCUUCGGAUCGUAAAGCUCUGUUAUUAGGGGAGAACAUAUGUGUAAGUAACUGUGCACAUCUUGACGGUACCUAAUCAGAAAGCCACGGCUAACUACGUG
This 497-nucleotide ribosomal RNA is filed under the name uncultured bacterium. RNAcentral's name for it is "partial 16S ribosomal RNA". It matches the Rfam family "Bacterial small subunit ribosomal RNA", at positions 28 to 507 of the family's 1533-position model. The record is from RNAcentral.